UCCAUUGAUAUUGCCGUUGUUCCAGUCUU
RNAcentral lists this non-coding RNA (29 nucleotides) under Rattus norvegicus (Norway rat). Lineage: Eukaryota; Metazoa; Chordata; Mammalia; Rodentia; Muridae. The record is from RNAcentral.